CCGGGGGUGCUUAMCAUGCAAGUCGAACGAUGAAGCCCUUCGGGGUGGAUUAGUGGCGAACGGGUGAGUAACACGUGGGCAAUCUGCCCUUCACUCUGGGACAAGCCCUGGAAACGGGGUCUAAUACCGGAUAACACCGGCUUCCGCAUGGGAGCUGGUUAAAAGCUCCGGCGGUGAAGGAUGAGCCCGCGGCCUAUCAGCUUGUUGGUGGGGUAAUGGCCUACCAAGGCGACGACGGGUAGCCGGCCUGAGAGGGCGACCGGCCACACUGGGACUGAGACACGGCCCAGACUCCUACGGGAGGCAGCAGUGGGGAAUAUUGCACAAUGGGCGAAAGCCUGAUGCAGCGACGCCGCGUGAGGGAUGACGGCCUUCGGGUUGUAAACCUCUUUCAGCAGGGAAGAAGCGAAAGUGACGGUACCUGCAGAAGAAGCGCCGGCUAACUACGUGCCAGCAGCCGCGGUAAUACGUAGGGCGCAAGCGUUGUCCGGAAUUAUUGGGCGUAAAGAGCUCGUAGGCGGCUUGUCACGUCGGGUGUGAAAGCCCGGGGCUUAACCCCGGGUCUGCAUCCGAUACGGGCAGGCUAGAGUGUGGUAGGGGAGAUCGGAAUUCCUGGUGUAGCGGUGAAAUGCGCAGAUAUCAGGAGGAACACCGGUGGCGAAGGCGGAUCUCUGGGCCAUUACUGACGCUGAGGAGCGAAAGCGUGGGGAGCGAACAGGAUUAGAUACCCUGGUAGUCCACGCCGUAAACGUUGGGAACUAGGUGUUGGCGACAUUCCACGUCGUCGGUGCCGCAGCUAACGCAUUAAGUUCCCCGCCUGGGGAGUACGGCCGCAAGGCUAAAACUCAAAGGAAUUGACGGGGGGGCCCGCACAAGCAGCGGAGCAUGUGGCUUAAUUCGACGCAACGCGAAGAACCUUACCAAGGCUUGACAUAUACCGGAAGCAUUAGAGAAUAGUGCCCCCCUUGUGGUCGGUAUACAGUGGAUGCAUGGACUGUCGUCAGCUUCGUUCUCGUGAGAAUGUUCGGAUUAAGUUCCCCCGGCA
Molecule: ribosomal RNA, 1045 nt
Filed under: Streptomyces sp.
Lineage: Bacteria; Bacillati; Actinomycetota; Actinomycetes; Kitasatosporales; Streptomycetaceae
Description: bacterial SSU rRNA
Source: RNAcentral